GGAACGUCAAUAGAAGAGCAUCUGGUUGCAUUGUGUUACUAUGUUUUGUUAAGUAGGUCUGCAUCUUAUUAAGCUGUGUUUUCUGUACGCUGCUCUGCAUUUCAUUAAGUUGUGCUCCUUCUCUUGUGCUGCUCGACCCCCCCACCCCCCUCUGUACCACACUGUGUUAUUUUUACACCGUUCAAAACAAAUUCAUAAAUUUCCCAUAAGGACUGCAAGUCCAGCCCAAAG
Molecule: non-coding RNA, 231 nt
Organism: Pelobates cultripes (western spadefoot toad)
Lineage: Eukaryota; Metazoa; Chordata; Amphibia; Anura; Pelobatidae
Source: the annotation of a GenBank genome assembly